GAAUUUUGGACAAUGGGGGGAACCCUGAUCCAGCCAUCCCGCGUGUGUGAUUAAGGCCUUCGGGUUGUAAAGUACUUUUGGCAGAGAAGAAAAGGUAUCUCCUAAUAAGAGAUACUGCUGACGGUAUCUGCAGAAUAAGCACCGGCUAACUACGUGCCAGCAGCCGCGAUAAUACGUAGGGUGCAAGCUGUAAUCGGCAGUACUGGGCGUAAAGCAUGUGUAGGCGGUUCGAAAAGAAAGAUGUGAAAUCCCAGGGCUCAACCUUGGAACUGCAUUUUUAACUGCCGAGCUAGAGUAUGUCAGAGGGGGGUAGAAUUCCACGUGUAGCAGUGAAAUGCGUAGAUAUGUGGAGGAAUACCGAUGGCGAAGGCAGCCCCCUGGGAUAAUACUGACGCUCAGACACGAAAGCGUGGGGAGCAAACA
RNAcentral lists this ribosomal RNA (423 nucleotides) under uncultured bacterium. RNAcentral describes it as "partial 16S ribosomal RNA". It matches the Rfam family "Bacterial small subunit ribosomal RNA", at positions 359 to 774 of the family's 1533-position model. The record is from RNAcentral.